Molecule: long non-coding RNA, 938 nt
Filed under: Rhinopithecus bieti (black snub-nosed monkey)
Lineage: Eukaryota; Metazoa; Chordata; Mammalia; Primates; Cercopithecidae
Description: lncRNA (ENSRBIG00000045037.1)
Source: RNAcentral
ACAUCUUUUGAAAAGGGAACGCCUGAAGUCAUUUCUCAGUCCUUGAAACGCUGAGUCAAUUCAUUUCUGAGACAGAUCAAUGCCCAUCAACAUUGCUGCUCCAGCGCCCAGUCAUUCUUGGUGAUAAAGGGGAAGAGAGGACACACAUGGCUGGCUGCCCAUCUAGAGAGAGUAUGCAGUGCAAUUGCUGCCACCACCAGCUGUGUGGUCUUGACAAGAGCCUUCAUCUGCGUUUGGAUUUCCUCCAAGGUGGUGGAGACCUCAGUCCUCCAGAGGCCACCUGGUUACGCAUGCUUCUGCUGCUGCCACCGCUAGAUCUUUGACCAUGGAAGGAGCACGCGCCUUUCUGAAGCGUACUGUCACAUGUCUCCUUCAAAUCUCCGUGGAUCUUUUCCUCAGCCUCCUGUCUUUCAGCAGGGCAGGUGCCUCCCACAAGGAAACCAGAUGCCAGGACCGUGGGGGACUCUUGAGCGGCACCAGCCAAGCUGUGGGAGCUGAAAAGAGGAAGCUUUGCUCAGAGUAAGCGCCAUGGGAUAAUGUCUUUAAUGUCAAGAGGAUGCACACUGUGAAUGUGGAAAGCCAUCCAGGCUGAAAGAGGGAGUCACACAGGCGGGGAGCGUCGCCAGGCGUUUGUGAGCACUCUCUUGGGUGGGCAGACAGCCGGCUUGCUCAUGAUUCUGCCUUGUCUGUUAUUGGCCACAAGCCGCCAGUGAAAUUUUGUGUCCUUAGGGCUUUGAGGCCUCUACUCAUUGGGGGUCCCAGAAUAAGCUCAAGAAGUUUUUGCCUAGUUCCCCCUGGGCUCCAAAUCAGUGGUACAAAUUUCUCAGUCUGACUUAAUGCUUAGGGAAAUGUCCUAUUUUUGGACGCUUCAUUUUAAAAAAGCAUAUAUAUUUACCAGUGCUAUCUCCACUAAUUCCGAAUAAACCUUAGACUUCAGG